Molecule: unclassified non-coding RNA, 213 nt
Filed under: Hevea brasiliensis (rubber tree)
Lineage: Eukaryota; Viridiplantae; Streptophyta; Magnoliopsida; Malpighiales; Euphorbiaceae
Source: RNAcentral
GAAUGAUGUAGUGGGAAUUAUGACCCAGGUGGUGUAAGGCCAAGCCGUAGGCCAAUGGAUGUAUGAUUGAGGCAAUAAUAAGAUGGUAUGGUUUGGCAAGUAGUUUCAUAAAUAUGGAAUAGCUUAAGGGGUUGUGUGUGAUGGCUUAAAUAUUAUGUCUCCACUUGCUAGAGGAUGAAAUUUCCUUAUAAUAUAUUAUAGGGGAAAGCAUGG